CAUAGCUACAAUAUGACCCUGUAUGUCUUUAUCUUGUCGGAUCUUGGAAGCUAAGCAGGCUAGACCCUGGCUAGUACUUAAGAUGGGAGACUGCCCUACAAUGUGAUGUUGUAGUUUUGG
This 120-nucleotide ribosomal RNA is filed under the name Petromyzon marinus (sea lamprey). The record is from RNAcentral. Lineage: Eukaryota; Metazoa; Chordata; Hyperoartia; Petromyzontiformes; Petromyzontidae.